Molecule: long non-coding RNA, 1503 nt
Organism: Triticum aestivum (bread wheat)
Lineage: Eukaryota; Viridiplantae; Streptophyta; Magnoliopsida; Poales; Poaceae
Exons: 2
Source: RefSeq, a predicted model, not a curated record
CCCGAAUAACCUGAACACUAUAUCGGGUAGCAGAUCUGAAAACCCGAAUUUAAUAUGGGUAAUUCGGGUAAAAGGCCACGAUACCCGAAUUACACGAAUAGCCCGAACUAAUUAGUUAGCCAAGUAAAACAUGACGCACACUUGCGCAAAGAAGGCCCAGCCCAAAAGGCUAUCGCUAGCCCUCACCCCCUGCAAGCAAACCUAGGUCGAGUGCGUCCUCAACUCCUCCAAAUCUGAGCGCCCCUUCCCAGUUCCUAGUCCCCACACCACGCCGGCACGCCCCCAUGGUGCCACCCCACCCCACGGCGCCACCCCACUAGCACCGGCGUACUGCGGCCCGUCGCCGGUCUGCAUCUGCUCCGCUGUGACAAGCAAGCCUGGAGGCUGCGUUCAGCGGGGCUACGGCACUAGGCCACUAGCCAUCAUCCAUCUCAUCUCAUCUUCCCCGACGGCACCUCCUCGAUGCAACACCACUUGCCCGCUGACCUGCAUGACGUGACUCACAACGACCGACGUUGCCCAUCUCAUUCCAUUGUUGCCCGUCCAAAUCGCUGCCUAUAGUCUUGCACCGCCGACGCCAGCCCCAAAUUGCAGUCCAUCUCAUUCCACUAUUGUUGGCACUUUUCUUCACUGUUUACUACUUCGGGUAGUACGGGUAUUACCUGAACCCGAACCUGAAUUUGCGGUAAACCCGAACGCCCAGCGUGAGUCUUGACAGGCUUGUGAGAAUAGGCUUGUUGAUGCGGAGCAUCCUUCCAUCAUCCCCAUGGAUUCUACACCAACACAUCAAGCCCCACAUGGACCUAUGACAAGAGCUCCAGCACGCGUAAUGGAAACCGAGGUGAACCCCUUCCUACUUGACUUGCACAUGAACUCGAAUGAGAUUAGGUUGCCGCCUCACCAAGAUACCCUAUGCAUCAUUAAGUACAAAGAGGGACCCUUCCAAGCAGCUGAGGAACACCACCAAGUGCAAGGAGAACCACCCGAAAGCCGCACGAAGAAGGAAGGAGCCAAACAGCAGCAGUACUGGAAGUCCCAGGCGACCCCGUGCACACGGUCCUCCGAGACCCCGUGCCCACGGGCUACACAGAGAGUUGGUGUUGUAGCACCCCGUGUGCACGGGUGUGUACCGUGCACACGGGACCCCUGUGCGCACGGGCCCAACUAACCUCGUGCGCACGGGCCCUACAGGAUGGCUGGCUGAUGCGGGUUGUUGGGCCUCCACUUCGCAUCCACUUCACCUCCUACCUACCCAAGCUUAUAUAAUUCGUACCUAGGGAUAUGUUUAGGGUUAGCAAAUACAUAGAUGAGAAUUUGAGAGCUUUGCUCCUUUUACCACCUCCAUUGGAGAUCAAGGCCUCUUAGGAGAGGAUCCACUUGUGGAUUUCAAGACCUCAUCUCUAAGGAGUGGGAAGAACUCUAUUAUUGUAUCUUUCCUUUGAUUGUGUUUGUGAACUUGUGGAUCUUGUGUUGCUAUUCUAGUGGAUGUGUAAUUGGGUAUUA